GCCGGGCGUGGUGGCUCACGCCUGUAAUCCCAGCACUUUGGGAGGCCGAGGCGGGUGGAUCACCUGAGGUCAGGAGUUCGAGACCAGCCUGGCCAACAUGGUGAAAACCCGUCUCUA
RNAcentral lists this signal recognition particle RNA (117 nucleotides) under Chlorocebus sabaeus (green monkey). Its description in RNAcentral is "Metazoan signal recognition particle RNA". It matches the Rfam family "Metazoan signal recognition particle RNA". From Rfam's summary of the family: The signal recognition particle (SRP) is a universally conserved ribonucleoprotein. It is involved in the co-translational targeting of proteins to membranes. Lineage: Eukaryota; Metazoa; Chordata; Mammalia; Primates; Cercopithecidae. The record is from Rfam by way of RNAcentral.